RNAcentral lists this ribosomal RNA (465 nucleotides) under uncultured bacterium. RNAcentral's name for it is "bacterial SSU rRNA". It matches the Rfam family "Bacterial small subunit ribosomal RNA", at positions 329 to 792 of the family's 1533-position model. The record is from RNAcentral.
GGCCAGACUCCUACGGGAGGCAGCAGUGAGGAAUAUUGGUCAAUGGGCGGGAGCCUGAACCAGCCAAGUCGCGUGAAGGAAGAAGGUACUUAGUAUUGUAAACUUCUUUUGUCAGGGAACAAAGGCGGAGACGCGUCUCCGGAUGAGUGUACCCGAAGAAAAAGCAUCGGCUAACUCCGUGCCAGCAGCCGCGGUAAUACGGAGGAUGCGAGCGUUAUCCGGAUUUAUUGGGUUUAAAGGGUGCGCAGGCGGAUUUUUAAGUCAGCGGUCAAAUCGUGGGGCUCAACCCCAUCCAGCCGUUGAAACUGGCAGUCUCGAGUUGGAGAGAAGUAUGCGGAAUGCGCGGUGUAGCGGUGAAAUGCAUAGAUAUCGCGCAGAACUCCGAUUGCGAAGGCAGCAUGCCGGCUCCACACUGACGCUGAGGCACGAAAGCGUGGGUAUCGAACAGGAUUAGAUACCCGCGUA